CUACGGGAGGCAGCAGUGGGGAAUAUUGCACAAUGGGCGCAAGCCUGAUGCAGCAACGCCGCGUGAACGAAGAAGGCUUUCGGGUCGUAAAGUUCUUUUCUUGGGGAAGAAAAAAUGACGGUACCCAAGGAAUAAGCACCGGCUAACUACGUGCCAGCAGCCGCGGUAAUACGUAGGGUGCAAGCGUUAUCCGGAAUCACUGGGCGUAAAGGGUGCGUAGGCGGCCUUCGCAAGUCAGUAGUGAAAGGCAAUGGCUCAACCAUUGUAAGCUAUUGAAACUGCAGGGCUUGAAUACAGGAGAGGUAAGUGGAAUUCCUAGUGUAGCGGUGAAAUGCGUAGAUAUUAGGAGGAACACCAGUGGCGAAGGCGACUUACUGGACUGUUAUUGACGCUGAGGCACGAAAGCGUGGGGAGCAAACAGGAUUAGAUACCCCGGUAGUC
Molecule: ribosomal RNA, 441 nt
Filed under: uncultured bacterium
Lineage: Bacteria
Description: partial 16S ribosomal RNA
Rfam family: Bacterial small subunit ribosomal RNA
Source: RNAcentral